CCUUCACAUUCCUGAAUCAGAUACAACAGAAUAUUAUGUUACUACGAAAUGGGAUGCUGAUAGGAAAUGUCAGUCGCACGUCUCUGAACUCCCCCUCUAUAUACUGAUCAGGAUUAUGACAUUCACAUGAUUUGUUAGUGACUUUUGCUGGAUCAGUAAUUAGCAAAAAUUUUCUCUCUCCGAUGUCAGGAUAGUUUGGA
RNAcentral lists this long non-coding RNA (200 nucleotides) under Elaeis guineensis (African oil palm). RNAcentral's name for it is "long non-coding RNA (EGUI_LNC003372)". Lineage: Eukaryota; Viridiplantae; Streptophyta; Magnoliopsida; Arecales; Arecaceae. The record is from RNAcentral.